This is a long non-coding RNA of Acanthochromis polyacanthus (spiny chromis), 1565 nucleotides long. RefSeq lists it as uncharacterized. The record is from RefSeq and is a predicted model, not a curated record. The transcript is spliced from 3 exons. NCBI's taxonomy places the organism in Eukaryota, Metazoa, Chordata, Actinopteri, Pomacentridae.
CAGGGAAAUGGAAACAUCAAGCAAAAAUGUUGCAGAUGUGAAUGUUGCAGUGGUUCUUCCACUGCUCCUCAAGUACUUCAAUGAAGAAGAAGAACAGAUGUUCUACAAAGUGGAUCAAACAACCCUGCCCUCUGAAGUAGACUGUGCUGGACUUCCAAGUACACCAUGUAUUGUUGUGUGUGGAAACUCGACUUUGGCAGCGGAGAAUUUCAUGCUGUCUGUUGACCAGACCAUUGUGAAUGGCCACAUCAGAAUCUUCAGUGAUGCUCUUUUGCUGAUGUUUGGUUUGUACUACUGUAUGAACAUAUCUUACCCAGCAGCCCAAGCAUCAACUUUGGAGUUCUUACAGAGGUGCCUCUUCAAGAUAAAUCCAGAUAAGGGAUCAAAAGUGGAGCGGAACGCCACCAAAAAACAACUUGCAGUCAGUCCAAAGGUUCUCACACUGAUCACCAAAAUUGCAGACUAUGAGUGGAGGGAAAAAGAAGUGCUCUCUAGUUAUGGAUACUUUGUCCAAGUUACAGACUGUUAUGGAUUAAUAUCCAGUGAGGUUUCAUGUAAGCUAUUUGUUAUGUAGCUUUGUCAUUAAUGUUUUGGAUGUAUGGUUACUUGACCAGGUUAUGGAUGACUUAAAUAGAAUAUGUAUUCAUUUCCAGAGAGGUUUACUGUAGGUUUGUAAUCCAUGUUGUGGAUGUACAGUGACUUGACCAAGUUAUGGAUGCCUUGGAUAGAGUAUGGAUUCAUUUCCAGUGAGGUUUGACAAAGUUUCUCAUCAAUGUUUUGGAUGUAUGGUUACUUGACCAAGUUAGGAAUGCCUUGGAUAGAAAUAAUACUGGGAAUUGGUAACUCAGCUCUUUUUUUUAAUGCUUUUUUUUUUCAUUUCCAAUUCAGUUGAAUUUUAUUUUUGUUUGUUUCAGAGCCAGUCAUUUUAAUUUAAUCGAUUUUUGAAUAUUGCUGUAAUAAUGGCUACCUGUUACAGUUGAAUAAAAAUACUGAGAAUGGGAAAUUGUAGCUGUUCUUGUUCAGCUUUGUCUCAUUCAAACACAACAAUUCAUUUAAGCCCCUUUUCCCACUGGCCAAAAAAGGGUUUAAACCAUUUAAAAUAAAAAUAAUUCCGGUGUUAUUAGGUGAGAACAUUUUUUAAGUUGAAAGCCCUUUAAAUAUUCAGCAAAUCUAUGUAAAAGAAAACUAAAAACUAAACUUGCAAUAAACAGUAAAUUGUUGCAAUUGUACAUCCAAUAUGUAGUUAAGUGUUUUGACAUGUUUUGAAAGAUUAAUCAAAUUAUUGUGUCGUAUACGGUUAUAUUACAUCUAAUAUAAAGUAAUAUACAGCCUUUUUACAUAAAAUAAUGCCAUUAAAAACAACUAAUAAGAGCACAUUUCUGUAAAUUUAAGCAUUAUUAUUCAUAUUGCAAUGUUAAUUUGCCAUCUUUAUGGGUAAUUUCAUUGUUUUAAAACGUAAAAUGUUUGUAAUUAAAUCUUAAAAACAAUGUAAAAUAACUAAAUAUGCAUUUGAUGUGAUCUAAAAUUAACAGUAAAUUGUUGCAAUUUUAAACCCAAUAUCUAGU